This 250-nucleotide ribosomal RNA is filed under the name uncultured bacterium. Its description in RNAcentral is "partial 16S ribosomal RNA". It matches the Rfam family "Bacterial small subunit ribosomal RNA", at positions 524 to 773 of the family's 1533-position model. The record is from RNAcentral.
UACGUAGGCAGCAAGCGUUGUUCGGAGUUACUGGGCGUAAAGAGUGCGUAGGCGGUUCCGUAAGUUUGGUGUGAAAUCUCCCGGCUUAACUGGGAGGGUGCGCCGAAAACUGCGGGGCUUGAGUGUGGGAGAGGCAAGCGGAAUUCCUGGUGUAGCGGUGAAAUGCGUAGAUAUCAGGAGGAACACCGGUGGUGUAGGCGGCUUGCUGGACCAUGACUGACGCUGAGGCACGAAAGCGUGGGGAGCAAAC